AUACGGAAGGUGCAAGCGUUAGUCGGAAUUACUGGGCGUAAAGGGUGCGUAGGCGGGGAUAUAAGUUGGUUGUGAAAUACCAAAGCUCAACUUUGGAAGUGCAAUCAAAACUAUAUCUCUCAGAGGAAUGGCGGAGAGAAUGGAAUUCCAUGUGUAGCGGUGAAAUGCGUAGAUAUAUGGAAGAACACCUGUGGCAAAAGCGGUUCUCUAGCUUCUUCCUGACGCUGAGGCACGAAAGCAAGGGGAGC
RNAcentral lists this ribosomal RNA (248 nucleotides) under uncultured bacterium. RNAcentral's name for it is "partial 16S ribosomal RNA". It matches the Rfam family "Bacterial small subunit ribosomal RNA", at positions 523 to 769 of the family's 1533-position model. The record is from RNAcentral.